This is a microRNA precursor of Medicago truncatula (barrel medic), 100 nucleotides long. NCBI's taxonomy places the organism in Eukaryota, Viridiplantae, Streptophyta, Magnoliopsida, Fabales, Fabaceae. The record is from Rfam.
AAGAGUAUGAGAUAUUGGUGCGGUUCAAUCAGAAGGGAGUGCUUUAUUAUUCUAAAGUUCUCUUAUUUGAUUGAGCCGUGCCAAUAUCACAUGUAACUAU